UGAGGAAUAUUGGUCAAUGGGCGGGAGCCUGAACCAGCCAAGUCGCGUGAGGGAAGACGGCCCUACGGGUUGUAAACCUCUUUUGUCAGGGAGCAAGAACAGGCACGUGUGCCUGACUGAGAGUACCUGAAGAAAAAGCAUCGGCUAACUCCGUGCCAGCAGCCGNGGUAAUAGCACUGU
Molecule: ribosomal RNA, 180 nt
Filed under: uncultured bacterium
Lineage: Bacteria
Description: partial 16S ribosomal RNA
Rfam family: Bacterial small subunit ribosomal RNA
Source: RNAcentral